This 253-nucleotide ribosomal RNA is filed under the name uncultured bacterium. Its description in RNAcentral is "partial 16S ribosomal RNA". It matches the Rfam family "Bacterial small subunit ribosomal RNA", at positions 524 to 776 of the family's 1533-position model. The record is from RNAcentral.
UACGUAGGGUGCAAGCGUUAAUCGGAAUUACUGGGCGUAAAGCGUGCGCAGGCGGUGAUGUAAGACAGGUGUGAAAUCCCCGGGCUUAACCUGGGAACUGCAUUUGUGACUGCAUCGCUGGAGUGCGGCAGAGGGGGAUGGAAUUCCGCGUGUAGCAGUGAAAUGCGUAGAUAUGCGGAGGAACACCGAUGGCGAAGGCAAUCCCCUGGGCCGAUACUGACGCUGAGGAGCGAAAGCGUGGGGAGCAAACAGG